This 253-nucleotide ribosomal RNA is filed under the name uncultured bacterium. Its description in RNAcentral is "partial 16S ribosomal RNA". It matches the Rfam family "Bacterial small subunit ribosomal RNA", at positions 524 to 776 of the family's 1533-position model. The record is from RNAcentral.
CACGUAGGGCGCAAGCGUUGUCCGGAAUUAUUGGGCGUAAAGGGCGCGUAGGCGGUGCCACAAGUCACUUGUGAAAUCCCCAGGCUUAACCUGGGGCCUGCAGGCGAAACUGUGGUGCUGGAGUGUGGGAGAGGUGCGUGGAAUUCCCGGUGUAGCGGUGAAAUGCGCAGAUAUCGGGAAGAACACCCGUGGCGAAGGCGGCUCUCUGGGACGGUACUGACGCUGAGACGCGAAAGCGUGGGGAGCAAACAGG